This is a small nucleolar RNA of Grammomys surdaster, 131 nucleotides long. RefSeq annotates it as small nucleolar RNA SNORA68. NCBI's taxonomy places the organism in Eukaryota, Metazoa, Chordata, Mammalia, Rodentia, Muridae. The transcript has a single exon. The record is from RefSeq and is a predicted model, not a curated record.
CACACAUCCAACCCAAGAAACUCUGCUGCCUGUAGCAGCUAUUUAAACAGUGCUGUGUAUAGCAAAGGGGCUUUGUCACCUUUGAGGGUCUGUGUGGUGCCCCCCGCAGUGGACUGGGAGGUUCCAUAGUC